AGUCGUGGGGGCAGCGCGGGUAGCAAUACUUGGCGGCGACCGGCAAACGGGUGCGGAACACGCUACGCAACCUUUCCUCAAAGCGGGGGAUAGCCUCUCGAAAGAGAGAUUAAUACCCCAUAGAAUCUUGUCCCUGCAUGGGGGUGAGAUUAAAGCUCCGGCACUUUGAGAUGGGCGUGCGGCUGAUUAGGUAGUUGGUAGGGUAACGGCCUACCAAGCCGACGAUCAGUAGCUGAUGUGAGAGCAUGAUCAGCCACACGGGCACUGAGACACGGGCCCGACUCCUACGGGAGGCAGCAGUGAGGAAUAUUGGUCAAUGGACGCAAGUCUGAACCAGCCAUGCCGCGUGGAGGAUGAAGGUCCUCUGGAUUGUAAACUCCUUUUAUAAAAGAAGAAACCCCGGUAUUCUUACCGGGUUGACGGUACUUUAUGAAUAAGCACCGGCUAACUCCGUGCCANGCAGCCGCGGUAAUACGGAGGGUGCAAGCGUUAUCCGGAUUCACUGGGUUUAAAGGGAGCGUA
Molecule: ribosomal RNA, 522 nt
Filed under: uncultured Bacteroidota bacterium
Lineage: Bacteria; Pseudomonadati; Bacteroidota
Description: bacterial SSU rRNA
Rfam family: Bacterial small subunit ribosomal RNA
Source: RNAcentral